CGGGAACCUGAGCCAUUAUCCUUUUCUGAACAAUGACGCCAUCAUUUUCUGGGUCUUCGGAGCAGUUGCGAAGAGAUGCCCAGAGGGGAGACGUCUAAACCAUCCGAAGGAAUUCAUGAAAGACAGUAACGUGCUUAAGACCUGACUUUUAAAGUGAAUGCCAGUGCGUGAUGAUCCCAGCUCCCUGUACAGUUCCUAGAGCUCCUGGGAGUGCAUUGAAUGCCAGUGCGUGACGAUCCCAGCUCCCUGUACAGUUCCUAGAGCUCCUGGGAGUGAAUGGCCAGUGACACAAGGCUUAACUGGUGUGUGAGAAUUGGAUGUAGUGAACAUCCAGAAAAGGCAGACAAAAGAAGAAAAUGCAGUGCUGGCUAGGUGUUGGAGAUGGGUCUUUAC
This is a non-coding RNA of Mesocricetus auratus (golden hamster), 393 nucleotides long. NCBI's taxonomy places the organism in Eukaryota, Metazoa, Chordata, Mammalia, Rodentia, Cricetidae. The record is from Rfam.